This 102-nucleotide Y RNA is filed under the name Propithecus coquereli (Coquerel's sifaka). RNAcentral's name for it is "Y RNA (ENSPCOG00000005558.1)". It matches the Rfam family "Y RNA". From Rfam's summary of the family: Y RNAs are components of the Ro ribonucleoprotein particle (Ro RNP), in association with Ro60 and La proteins. The Y RNAs and Ro60 and La proteins are well conserved, but the function of the Ro RNP is not known. Lineage: Eukaryota; Metazoa; Chordata; Mammalia; Primates; Indriidae. The record is from Rfam by way of RNAcentral.
AGCUGGUCCGAGUGCAGUGGUCUUCACAGCUAAUUGAUCACAACCAGUUACAGAUUCCUUUGUUCCUCCUCCACUCCCUCUGCUUCACUUGACUAGCCUUGA